Molecule: ribosomal RNA, 514 nt
Filed under: uncultured bacterium
Lineage: Bacteria
Description: bacterial SSU rRNA
Rfam family: Bacterial small subunit ribosomal RNA
Source: RNAcentral
GACGAACGCUGGCGGCGUGUCUUAGCCAUGCAAGUCGAGCGGACUUAUGGGGUAACUUAUAAGUCAGCGGCGGACGGCGGAGUAACACGUAGCUAACCUACCCUCUGGACGGGGAUAACCUACCGAAAGGUGGGCUAAUACCCGAUGUAGUCAUCCUGUAUAGGGGUGAUGAAAGGUGGGCUUCUGUUUACAAGCUCAUGCUGGAGGAGGGGGCUGCGGCCUAUCAGGUAGUUGGUAGGGUAAUAGCCUACCAAGCCGAUGACGGGUAGCCGGCCUGAGAGGGUGACCGGCCCGAGGGGCACUGAGAUACGGGUCCCACUCCUACGGGAGGCAGCAGGCUAGAAAUUUGGGCAAUGGGGGAAACCCUGACCCAGUGACGCCGCGUGCAGGAAGGAGCCCUUCGGGGUGUAAACUGCUGUCGUGUAGGGAGAAGGGUACUAAGGUGAACAAUCUUAGUACUUGACGGUACUACAGGAGGAAGCCCAGGCUAACCUCGUGCCAGCAGCCGCGGUAA